UACGUAGGGGGCAAGCGUUGUCCGGAUUUAUUGGGCGUAAAGAGCGUGUAGGCGGUUAGGUAGGUCCGUUGUGGAAACUCGAGGCUCAACCUCGAGACGCCGAUGGAAACCAUCUAACUAGAGUCCGGAAGAGGAGAGUGGAAUUCCUGGUGUAGCGGUGAAAUGCGCAGAUAUCAGGAAGAACACCCGUGGCUAAGGCGGCUCUCUAGUACGGUACUGACGCUGAGACGCGAAAGCGUGGGGAGCGAACAGG
RNAcentral lists this ribosomal RNA (253 nucleotides) under uncultured bacterium. Its description in RNAcentral is "partial 16S ribosomal RNA". It matches the Rfam family "Bacterial small subunit ribosomal RNA", at positions 524 to 776 of the family's 1533-position model. The record is from RNAcentral.